GUUCAAUUACCAUUAGGCAGCAACUAACUGACUAAGGCCAAACAAAACCACAAAAAGAAGCACUUCACUUGCAUAAAUUCAGUAAUAACAACUCAAAAGUUAAGAGCGAGUGGCCAAUUGGGAUUGGCCAAGACCUAGCAGACAAGCAUAGCACCACAAGGAACUAGGAAAAGAACUGGAAAACUGAAAAUCAGAACUGAAAAAGGUGGUUAACUGAACCAAUCAGAUCAGUUUCAGUUGUUAUUGUUGAUUUUUUUUCUAGUUUUUGGUUCAAUCCUCGUUUUAGUGUUGUAAAGUUCAUUGGUCAAAAUACAGGACAUGUUAUACAAUAGUAGAUGCUAGAUUAGAGGCAGGAGUGCAUGUGAUUCUUUAAGUUUGGCUUAGGUUAACUGACAGAAAUAGUCAUGCAAGAACAUUGGGGUUACUUAAAAAUGUUGCACAUAAUCAAAAACUUUUAAUGCAAAUGUUAU
This 470-nucleotide unclassified non-coding RNA is filed under the name Hevea brasiliensis (rubber tree). The record is from RNAcentral. Lineage: Eukaryota; Viridiplantae; Streptophyta; Magnoliopsida; Malpighiales; Euphorbiaceae.